AUUGAACGCUGGCGGCAUGCUUUACACAUGCAAGUCGAACGGCAGCGCGGGCUUCGGCCUGGCGGCGAGUGGCGAACGGGUGAGUAAUACAUCGGAACGUGCCCAGUAGUGGGGGAUAGCUCGGCGAAAGCCGGAUUAAUACCGCAUACGACCUGAGGGUGAAAGCGGGGGAUCUUCGGACCUCGCGCUAUUGGAGCGGCCGAUGGCAGAUUAGCUAGUUGGUGGGGUAAAGGCCUACCAAGGCGACGAUCUGUAGCUGGUCUGAGAGGACGACCAGCCACACUGGAACUGAGACACGGCCCAGACUCCUACGGGAGGCAGCAGUGGGGAAUUUUGGACAAUGGGCGAAAGCCUGAUCCAGCAAGGCCGCGUGUGUGAUGAAGGCCUUCGGGUUGUAAAGCACUUUUGGCGGGAACGAAAAGGACUGUGCCAAUACCACGGUUCGAUGACGGUACCCGCAGAAUAAGCACCGGCUAACUACGUG
Molecule: ribosomal RNA, 484 nt
Filed under: uncultured bacterium
Lineage: Bacteria
Description: partial 16S ribosomal RNA
Rfam family: Bacterial small subunit ribosomal RNA
Source: RNAcentral